GUCUCUGCUGUUUCUCUCUCGCAUCUCUCUCUACCCUGAAACUUUAACAACCGCCAGACCUCUCCACUUCCCACCACCAAGAAACUCCACCGCAAACAAACCCACGUCUCAAUCUGUGGCACCGGUGAAGCUGUGCAUGUCAACUAUCAAACAAGUGCAGCCCUUUUGCUCCUACUGACUUCCUCAAUUCGCAUUACCAGGAGGGGUGUAAUGUAACAAAGGUCAUGGAUAAAUCAUGGAUUUUCUCUGAUAGAUUAUCAAAUGCAUAUGAAGAAGGCGUGGAAGCCUUUUUAGAGUUUGCCCAAUCUAAUAAUCCAAAAUCAGAUGUUAUUCUGUGUCCUUGUGUAGAUUGUACCAAUUUUCGCUAUCACUCAAUUGACAAUGUGCGUUAUCAUCUGAUUGCCCGCGGU
This 410-nucleotide long non-coding RNA is filed under the name Helianthus annuus (common sunflower). Its description in RNAcentral is "hypothetical non coding rna". The record is from RNAcentral. Lineage: Eukaryota; Viridiplantae; Streptophyta; Magnoliopsida; Asterales; Asteraceae.